UACGGAGGGUGCAAGCGUUGCUCGGAAUUACUGGGCGUAAAGCGCGUGUAGGCGGUCUCGUAUGUCUGAUGUGAAAUCCCCGGGCUCAACCCGGGAAGUGCAUUGGAAACUGCGAGACUGGAGUCCCGGAGAGGAAGGUGGAAUUCCAGGUGUAGCGGUGAAAUGCGUAGAUAUCUGGAAGAACACCGGUGGCGAAGGCGGCCCCCUGGACAAAGACUGACGCUCAGGUGCGAAAGCGUGGGGAGCAAACAGG
This 253-nucleotide ribosomal RNA is filed under the name uncultured bacterium. RNAcentral describes it as "partial 16S ribosomal RNA". It matches the Rfam family "Bacterial small subunit ribosomal RNA", at positions 524 to 776 of the family's 1533-position model. The record is from RNAcentral.